This is a long non-coding RNA of Gorilla gorilla gorilla (western lowland gorilla), 1246 nucleotides long. RefSeq lists it as uncharacterized. The record is from RefSeq and is a predicted model, not a curated record. The transcript is spliced from 4 exons. Lineage: Eukaryota; Metazoa; Chordata; Mammalia; Primates; Hominidae.
CACUGACCCUAAAACCUAGCCAGGGCGACAGGCCAUCGGAAGGCGGGUGUGGACGUUUCUGGUCUGAGAGCGGUGUUUUGAGGGUCUCACUCUCAACCAGGUUGGAAUGCAGUGUCACUUGGCUCACUGAAACCUCCGCAUCCUAGGCUCAAGUGAUUCUCCCACCUCAGCCUCCCGAGUAGCUGGGACUACAGAUGUGCUCCACCACGCCUAGCAAGCUGUACCCGACCACCUUGGGCACAUGUUGCCAGGACCUCCUGAAGCUGUGUCAUGGGUGCCACCUUAACCUUGCAAGGAACUUCCGUGGAACUUGAGCCUUCGCGCAGCGUAUUUUGGCAUCCAAUUUAAAGCUAGUAGAGGUCCGGAAGAUUCCCAGGAUUAAAGUCUUUAAACAGAAACUGUGAAUCUUGCCUAAGUAAAAGGUAUCAUCUCUGGGUGGGCUUGAACCACCAGCCUUUCGGUUCAAACAGCCGAACGCACUAACCGAUUGCGCCACAGAGACUCUAAUGGUUUAGAUUUGCUGAUACCAGAAAUGGCAUUUUAACCUCUGGCCGUAGAUAAUCUCAUAUGUUUGUAGCCUGUCCAAUCCCGCGCACUCCAGAAACCCAGAACACGGGAGACAUUGAAGCCAAGAGUCGAGUCUUUGGGCACGUUUGGACAUUCUACCUGGGCAGAGUCAGCUGGGGAACUCCAACGGCCAAACGGCCGCCUGCUCCUCGCCGUCUGCUCUUCACUGCUUCCCCCGCCUGCUUUUCACCAUCUCAAAAGUCGCCGGCCCCUCUACAGGCGACAACUGCAGCUUCUCCGGCGGAAGUCACUUGCUUUCCCAUUCUUAGCCCCGCUUCACACCUUGAGCUCACAGUCAUUUCCGCCGGGCCUGGGCUAGCGGACGCGCACGUGGGAAGGACCAGAACCCGUGGUGUCCUCACCGCGUCGCCCUCGGGCCCUCAGAGGUGGGAUCCACCGGACAGGGACCUGGAGUUUGCACAGGCUGCAGCCCUUCGCCCAGAGCCAGCCUAACACCUAGUAGGUGCCCAAUAAAUGCUCGGUGAAGGAAGGCAUUCCACCGCAGGGUUUUAGGAGAACCAUGAAUUCCCGUGUGAACGUUAAGCGUUUAGUCCUACUAGGAAGUCUGGAAUAUGGAGACCUGAACUGUUUCUCAAAGGCAGCUGUUCUUGUAUCCCCAGAGCCGGUUUAGAAUCCAGCAAAGGCCCCUGCCUGGUGGAUCCCACCUCUGGAGACCCGA